Molecule: ribosomal RNA, 830 nt
Filed under: uncultured soil bacterium
Lineage: Bacteria
Description: bacterial SSU rRNA
Rfam family: Bacterial small subunit ribosomal RNA
Source: RNAcentral
UGCGCGUUUCCGUAGCAAUACGGAGAUGGCGCACGGCGCACGGGUGCGUAACACGUGGGUAAUCUGCCCUCUGAUGGGGAAUAACCCGCCGAAAGGCGGGCUAAUUCCGCAUAACAUUCCUUGGACUCCGGUUCGAGGAUUCAAAGGCGUAAGUCGUCGGAGGUGGAGCCCGCGCACGAUUAGCUAGUUGGUGAGGUAAUGGCUCACCAAGGCUAUGAUCGUUAGCUGGUCUGAGAGGAUGGCCAGCCACACUGGAACUGAGACACGGUCCAGACUCCUACGGGAGGCAGCAGUGGGGAAUCUUGCACAAUGGGCGAAAGCCUGAUGCAGCGACGCCGCGUGGGGGAUGAAGCUUCUCGGAGUGUAAACCCCUUUCGACCGGGACGAAUAUCCGCCUUUGGCGGAGGUGACGGUACCGGUAUAAGAAGCCCCGGCUAACUACGUGCCAGCAGCCGCGGUAAGACGUGGGGGGCCAGCGUUGCUCGGAAUUACUGGGUGUAAAGGGUUCGUAGGCGGUGUGGCAAGUCGGGAGUGAAAUCUCUGGGCUUAACUCAGGGGCUGCUUCCGAAACUGCCGUGCUAGAGUGUGGGAGAGGCGCGUGGAAUUGCAGGUGUAGCGGUGAAAUGCGUAGAUAUCUGCAGGAACACCCGUGGCGAAAGCGGCGCGCUGGACCACUACUGACGCUGAGGAACGAAAGCUUAGGGAGCAAACAGGAUUAGAUACCCUGGUAGUCCUAGCCCCUAAACGAAUCAGGACUUGGGGGUGCCCCCCGUUCCGGGUGUCCCUCCCCGGAACUUACCCGUUUAGUCCUGCCCCCUGGGGGAAUACCG